UACGGAAGGCAGCAGUGGGGAAUAUUGCACAAUGGGCGAAAGCCUGAUGCAGCUAUGCCGCGUGUAUGAAGAAGGCCUUAGGGUUGUAAAGUACUUUCAUCGGGGAGGAAAAAACAAAACUAAUAAUUUUAUUUCUUGACGUUACCCGAAAAAGAAGCACCGGCUAACUCCGUGCCAGCAGCCGCGGUAAUCGGAGGGUGCUAGCGUUAAUCAGAAUUACUGGGCGUAAAGAGCACGUAGGUGGUUUUUUAAGUCAGAUGUGAAAUCCCUGGGCUUAACCUAGGAACUGCAUUUUGAAACUGAAAUACUAGAGUAUCGUAGAGGGAGGUAGAAUUCUAGGUGUAGCGGUGAAAUGCGUAGAUAUCUGGAGGAAUACCUGUGGCGAAAGCGGCCUCCUAAACGAAUACUGACACUGAGGUGCGAAAGCGUGGGGAGCAAACAGGGAUUUAGAUACC
This 455-nucleotide ribosomal RNA is filed under the name uncultured bacterium. RNAcentral describes it as "bacterial SSU rRNA". It matches the Rfam family "Bacterial small subunit ribosomal RNA", at positions 340 to 786 of the family's 1533-position model. The record is from RNAcentral.